UACAGAGGUCCCAAGCGUUGUUCGGAUUCAUUGGGCGUAAAGGGUGCGUAGGCGGUGGGGUAAGUUGGAUGUGAAAUCUCGGGGCUCAACCCCGAAACUGCAUUCAAUACUGCCUUGCUUGAGUAUUGGAGAGGAGAUCGGAAUUCAUGGUGUAGCAGUGAAAUGCGUAGAUAUCAUGAGGAAGGCCAGUGGCGAAGGCGGAUCUCUGGACAAUUACUGACGCUGAGGCACGAAGGCCAGGGGAGCAAACGGG
This 253-nucleotide ribosomal RNA is filed under the name uncultured bacterium. RNAcentral's name for it is "partial 16S ribosomal RNA". It matches the Rfam family "Bacterial small subunit ribosomal RNA", at positions 524 to 776 of the family's 1533-position model. The record is from RNAcentral.